Molecule: long non-coding RNA, 317 nt
Filed under: Cucumis sativus (cucumber)
Lineage: Eukaryota; Viridiplantae; Streptophyta; Magnoliopsida; Cucurbitales; Cucurbitaceae
Description: long non-coding RNA (CSAT_LNC001478)
Source: RNAcentral
CUUCAACAGCCCUUGGAUGGUCCUGUCUAGCAGGCCCUCCAACAAGAGCAAAGCCAGUAAGCGACACAACCGAAUGCACAAAAGGUUUCUUCGUCACUGGGUCAACAAGAUACUUCUCGACCGGUCCUGAAAAGUCAAGGCCACCAGCAAAAAUGGGAAUCACUUUAGCCCCUCUAGCCUCCAACUCCAUAAUCACUGCCACAUAAUGACUCUCAUCACCAGUAACAAUAUGACUCCUCUGCAAAAUGAGCCCAAUAACAGGAGAAUUACGAUCCUUCAACUUCUCAUUAGCAUCUUUUCUUGUUCCAUACCAAUUC